This 486-nucleotide ribosomal RNA is filed under the name uncultured bacterium. Its description in RNAcentral is "partial 16S ribosomal RNA". It matches the Rfam family "Bacterial small subunit ribosomal RNA", at positions 28 to 523 of the family's 1533-position model. The record is from RNAcentral.
GACGAACGCUGGCGGCGUGCUUAACACAUGCAAGUCGAACGGUGAUGGGUGGAGCUUGCUCUGCUUUGAUCAGUGGCGAACGGGUGAGUAACACGUGAGUAACCUGCCCCAGACUCUGGAAUAACCCCGGGAAACCGGUGCUAAUACCGGAUAUGACACAGAAUCGCAUGGUUUCUGUGUGGAAAGUUUUUCGGUUUGGGAUGGACUCGCGGCCUAUCAGCUUGUUGGUGAGGUAAUGGCUCACCAAGGCGACGACGGGUAGCCGGCCUGAGAGGGCGACCGGCCACACUGGGACUGAGACACGGCCCAGACUCCUACGGGAGGCAGCAGUGGGGAAUAUUGCACAAUGGGCGCAAGCCUGAUGCAGCGACGCCGCGUGAGGGAUGAAGGCCUUCGGGUUGUGAACCUCUUUCAGCUCUGAAGAAGCGAAAGUGACGGUAGGAGCAGAAGAAGCACCGGCUAACUACGUGCCAGCAGCCGCGGUAA